GUGCCUGCUUCAGUAGCUCAUAUACUAAAAUCAGAACAAUACUAAAAAGAUUAGCAGGACCCCUGCGCAAGGAUCACAUGCAAAUUUAUGAGGCAUUCCAUGUGACC
This is a small nuclear RNA of Monodelphis domestica (gray short-tailed opossum), 107 nucleotides long. NCBI's taxonomy places the organism in Eukaryota, Metazoa, Chordata, Mammalia, Didelphimorphia, Didelphidae. The record is from Ensembl.